GUCUCAGUAGCAUAGUGGCUAGUGCACAGCCCUGGAAAGAUUGAGACGCGGGUUCAAUUCCUGCCUGAGAUG
Molecule: transfer RNA, 72 nt
Filed under: Nippostrongylus brasiliensis
Lineage: Eukaryota; Metazoa; Nematoda; Chromadorea; Rhabditida; Heligmosomidae
Rfam family: tRNA
About the family: Transfer RNA (tRNA) molecules are approximately 80 nucleotides in length. Their secondary structure includes four short double-helical elements and three loops (D, anti-codon, and T loops).
Source: Rfam by way of RNAcentral